UGGGGAAUUUUGGACAAUGGGGGAAACCCUGAUCCAGCCAUCCCGCGUGUGCGAUGAAGGCCUUCGGGUUGUAAAGCACUUUUGUCCGGAAAGAAAUCCUUGGCUCUAAUACAGUCGGGGGAUGACGGUACCGGAAGAAUAAGCACCGGCUAACUACGUGCCAGCAGCCGCGGUAAUACGUAGGGUGCAAGCGUUAAUCGGAAUUACUGGGCGUAAAGCGUGCGCAGGCGGUUUGCUAAGACCGAUGUGAAAUCCCCGGGCUCAACCUGGGAACUGCAUUGGUGACUGGCAGGCUAGAGUAUGGCAGAGGGGGGUAGAAUUCCACGUGUAGCAGUGAAAUGCGUAGAGAUGUGGAGGAAUACCGAUGGCGAAGGCAGCCCCCUGGGCCAAUACUGACGCUCAUGCACGAAAGCGUGGGGAGCAAACAGGAUUAGAUACCCUGGUAGUCCACGCCCUAAACGAUGUCAACUAGUUGUUGGGGAUUCAUUUCCUUAGUAACGUAGCUAACGCGUGAAGUUGACCGCCUGGGGAGUACGGUCGCAAGAUUAAAACUCAAAUGAAUUGACGGGGUCAUAGCUGUUUCCU
RNAcentral lists this ribosomal RNA (585 nucleotides) under uncultured bacterium. RNAcentral describes it as "partial 16S ribosomal RNA". It matches the Rfam family "Bacterial small subunit ribosomal RNA", at positions 355 to 1375 of the family's 1533-position model. The record is from RNAcentral.